RNAcentral lists this ribosomal RNA (479 nucleotides) under uncultured bacterium. Its description in RNAcentral is "bacterial SSU rRNA". It matches the Rfam family "Bacterial small subunit ribosomal RNA", at positions 29 to 506 of the family's 1533-position model. The record is from RNAcentral.
ACGAACGCUGGCGGCGUGCUUAACACAUGCAAGUCAAACGGGGUUAAGAAAGAAGCUUGCUUUUUUCUUAACUUAGUGGCGGACGGGUGAGUAACGCGUGGAUAACCUGCCCAUCAGAUGGGGAUAACACCGGGAAACUGGUGCUAAUACCGGAUACGUACGUAAAAUGGCAUCUUUUUACGUAGAAAGGUGACGCAAGUCGCCACUGAUGGAUGGGUCCGCGUCCCAUUAGCUAGUUGGCAGGGUAAUGGCCUACCAAGGCAACGAUGGGUAGCCGGCCUGAGAGGGUGGCCGGCCACACUGGGACUGAGAUACGGCCCAGACUCCUACGGGAGGCAGCAGUGGGGAAUCUUCCGCAAUGGGCGAAAGCCUGGCGGAGCAACGCCGCGUGAGUGAUGAAGGCUUUCGGGUCGUAAAACUCUGUCUUGGGGGAAGAAAAAAAUGACGGUACCCCAGGAGGAAGCCCCGGCUAACUACGU